This is a long non-coding RNA of Hippocampus comes (tiger tail seahorse), 196 nucleotides long. RefSeq lists it as uncharacterized. The record is from RefSeq and is a predicted model, not a curated record. The transcript has 2 exons. Lineage: Eukaryota; Metazoa; Chordata; Actinopteri; Syngnathiformes; Syngnathidae.
CGUGAGUAUUGCCGUUUUUCUGAUGACCGUCUUUCCCUUGCAGCACAUCUCAUGACCACAUUGAGUGUUUUUUUUAGAUAGCAUACAGAGAACAAGUAGUCAAGCAAUGCAGUUAACAUUAUGAUCUAAAGUUAUUUUUUUUCUUCAUCUGCGACUCCCGCCACAAGCACUGUAAUGGAAAUGAUAGCGUUUGGGG